This 450-nucleotide ribosomal RNA is filed under the name Bacillus sp. (in: firmicutes). RNAcentral describes it as "bacterial SSU rRNA". It matches the Rfam family "Bacterial small subunit ribosomal RNA", at positions 82 to 519 of the family's 1533-position model. The record is from RNAcentral. Lineage: Bacteria; Bacillati; Bacillota; Bacilli; Caryophanales; Bacillaceae.
UCUUAUGAAGUUAGCGGCGGACGGGUGAGUAACACGUGGGUAACCUGCCCAUAAGACUGGGAUAACUCCGGGAAACCGGGGCUAAUACCGGAUAACAUUUUGAACCGCAUGGUUCGAAAUUGAAAGGCGGCUUCGGCUGUCACUUAUGGAUGGACCCGCGUCGCAUUAGCUAGUUGGUGAGGUAACGGCUCACCAAGGCAACGAUGCGUAGCCGACCUGAGAGGGUGAUCGGCCACACUGGGACUGAGACACGGCCCAGACUCCUACGGGAGGCAGCAGUAGGGAAUCUUCCGCAAUGGACGAAAGUCUGACGGAGCAACGCCGCGUGAGUGAUGAAGGCUUUCGGGUCGUAAAACUCUGUUGUUAGGGAAGAACAAGUGCUAGUUGAAUAAGCUGGCACCUUGACGGUACCUAACCAGAAAGCCACGGCUAACUACGUGCCAGCGCGCG